GGGCCCGCACAAGCGGUGGAGCAUGUGGUUUAAUUCGAUGAUACGCGAGGAACCUUACCAGGGCUUAAAUGCAGGCUGCAUGGGGUGGAGACAUCCCUUUCUUCGGACCGCCUGCAAGGUGCUGCAUGGUUGUCGUCAGCUCGUGCCGUGAGGUGUCAGGUUAAGUCCUAUAACGAGCGCAACCCCUACCGUUAGUUGCCAGCGAGUCAAGUCGGGGACUCUAACGGGACUGCCGGUGCAAACCGUGAGGAAGGUGGGGACGACGUCAAAUCAUCACGGCCCUUACGUCCUGGGCCACACACGUGCUACAAUGGCCGGUACAGAGGGAAGCCACCCCGCAAGGGGGCGCGGAUCUAUAAAACCGGUCACAGUUCGGAUCGGGGUCUGCAACUCGACCCCGUGAAGCUGGAAUCGCUAGUAAUCGGAUAU
Molecule: ribosomal RNA, 429 nt
Filed under: uncultured bacterium
Lineage: Bacteria
Description: bacterial SSU rRNA
Rfam family: Bacterial small subunit ribosomal RNA
Source: RNAcentral